CGGUCGACGCACAACGCGGCCGCUUAGUUCGCUUCGAUCGGCCGAAGCGUGUGGAUGUAGUUAGUGUGUAGUUAAUUCUUUUCCUAUCCUCGCUUCCUCUAAUUCCUCUUGUCUCGUUUCUCUUCGUUUCUAUUUGUCUCCCGUUUCGUCUCUGUUCGUCUAAUCUUGUCUCGUCUCGUUUCGUUUCGUAUUCUUCAUUUUCUCGCAUCUUUAUUCGUAGUAUAAUUGAUGAAAAAUACGAAUGGAGAAAAAUGUAAAAUAUAUUUUUUAUUCGUGGAAAAGUGUUCGCUUUUUUAACGACUGAAGAAGAUGUGCUAGCUAUCUUCUCUUCGAAUUUUUAGCUGAUUCGCUGGUAAGACGAGGCAAGGUCUCUGCCUACUCUCCUCUCUCUCUUUUGCUCCACGCCAUCUUUCUACCUCCUCCUCUUAGAUAUUUUGUGCUGCUACACGCUUCCGGCUGACAGUGCGCUUUUUAGGCCUGCGCGCGCGACUCGCGCAAUGGUCGUCACAAUCCCCCUCCCCCUUUCCUCCGCUCCUUCCUCCCUCCCUCCCUCUUUCUCAGCGUGACUCUCGAGUCUCGAUGAACCGCAAAUCUCCCCGACAAGCGAAGAGGGUGGAGUCCGUACUCCGUGGCAGACAUUUCCUACGAGAUUGCGAGGCGUUUAUGAUACGACGGCGACGACGACGACAACGAUGUUGAUGAUGAUAAUGAUGAUGAUGAUGAUGAUGAUGAUGAUGAUGAUGAUGAUCACGAUGAUGAUCACGAUGUAACGAUGACUACGAUGACGACAAGCAAAACGCGUAUCCGGAUGUGUCAGACUCCAUGCACCAAAAGAGGCGCCAUGUCGUCGUUUUCCUUCUCGAGCAACCGAUCGAUCUUCAGUGGUGUAAUGUGCACACAACUAAGCUGUAAUUUUGACAAGGUCCACAUUCCAAACCAAGUCAGGUGUCCUGCAUAAAGUAGUAGAAGAGAAUGCAAGAAAAUAUGGUUGAUGGAAAAAAAUCAGCUUACAAAAAGUAAAGAUCAUUCUUCACGCGGUGGCAAUAUGGCUGUCGAUGGAUGGAGUAUCUGUUCACAUCUUACCGGGCAGCAUUAGAUUGAAGUUGAAGGUUCUAAUACUGUCAGGUAAAGAUGUCGUCAGGAUUCCGAAGACGACGAUUGAAACGUAGCGGAUUAAUUUAUCAACAAAUAAAAGCAAUGUUAUGAUUACUUGAUACAGGUCACACCAAUUUUUAUUGUUUUCUUUUCAUUAAAUUUGAGAAAUGUUAAUAUUAUGUUUCUAUAUAUAAAUAAAUUAAUAUAAACUUUUUACUAAUAUGAAUAAAGUGUGCGUGUAUUUAUGUGUAUAUUUAGUUUAUAUCAAAUAAAAGUUUUAAGAUAUGUGCA
Long non-coding RNA from Monomorium pharaonis (pharaoh ant), 1386 nucleotides. RefSeq lists it as uncharacterized. The record is from RefSeq and is a predicted model, not a curated record. NCBI's taxonomy places the organism in Eukaryota, Metazoa, Arthropoda, Insecta, Hymenoptera, Formicidae. The transcript has 2 exons.